RNAcentral lists this ribosomal RNA (593 nucleotides) under Salmonella enterica subsp. enterica serovar Rubislaw. Its description in RNAcentral is "partial 23S ribosomal RNA". It matches the Rfam family "Bacterial large subunit ribosomal RNA", at positions 1216 to 1791 of the family's 2925-position model. Lineage: Bacteria; Pseudomonadati; Pseudomonadota; Gammaproteobacteria; Enterobacterales; Enterobacteriaceae. The record is from RNAcentral.
AGGUGUUGUUGGGUAGGGGAGCGUUCUGUAAGCCUGCGAAGGUGGCCUGUGAGGGUUGCUGGAGGUAUCAGAAGUGCGAAUGCUGACAUAAGUAACGAUAAAGCGGGUGAAAAGCCCGCUCGCCGGAAGACCAAGGGUUCCUGUCCAACGUUAAUCGGGGCAGGGUGAGUCGACCCCUAAGGCGAGGCCGAAAGGCGUAGUCGAUGGGAAACGGGUUAAUAUUCCCGUACUUGGUGUUACUGCGAAGGGGGGACGGAGAAGGCUAUGUUGGCCGGGCGACGGUUGUCCCGGUUUAAGCGUGUAGGUGUGUGUUCCAGGUAAAUCCGGUUCACUUUAACACUGAGGCGUGACGACGAGGCACUACGGUGCUGAAGCAACAAAUGCCCUGCUUCCAGGAAAAGCCUCUAAGCAUCAGGUAACAUCAAAUCGUACCCCAAACCGACACAGGUGGUCAGGUAGAGAAUACCAAGGCGCUUGAGAGAACUCGGGUGAAGGAACUAGGCAAAAUGGUGCCGUAACUUCGGGAGAAGGCACGCUGACACGUAGGUGAAGUGAUUUACUCACGGAGCUGAAGUCAGUCGAAGAUACCAGCU